Long non-coding RNA from Oncorhynchus keta (chum salmon), 2502 nucleotides. RefSeq lists it as uncharacterized. The record is from RefSeq and is a predicted model, not a curated record. The transcript is spliced from 3 exons. NCBI's taxonomy places the organism in Eukaryota, Metazoa, Chordata, Actinopteri, Salmoniformes, Salmonidae.
GUAAGGGCAGGCAUAAGCAACGGCCAACGAACACAACUGCAGUAUAUGGAUACCGUGACCAGAUCCAGAUCCUGAGGCCCAUUGUCGUGACAUUUCAUCUGUCGCCAUCACCACACUUCCAGUUCCCAGCGAUAUCCAGCGAUUUAGCACAGCCAUUGAAGAGGAGUGGGACAUCAUUCCACAGGAUACAAUCAACAGCCUGAUCAACUCUACGUGAAGGAGAUGUGUUUUGCUGCAUGAGGAAAAUGGUGGGUCACACCAGAUACGGACUGGUUUUCUGAUCCACGCCCCUACCUUUUUAAAGUAUCAGUAUUCACAGUCAUGUGAAAUCCGUAGAUUAGAGCUUAAUUCAUUUUUCAAUUAACUGAUUUCCUUAUCAACUAACUCCAGUAAAAUCUUAGCAAUUGUCGGAUGUUUUAUAUUUUUGUUCAGUGUAAAUGUGCAUUUAGUUGUUAAGAUGAGUAAUUGACAUACUAGUCAUUUUAAAGGGAUCAGAUUCAAUACACUAACUUCUUAGUAAAGGACAACAUUAUUCACUACACUGACAUCUCUCCAGUCCACAACUCUUUUAUUUACUCGUUACGUUACAAUAUCAAAAAUACAGCUCUGGAUGCUUUCUCAAACAGGUUGCGCCUCCAGUGAUGCUUUCUCAAACAGGUUGCGCCUCCAGUGAUGCUUUCUCAAACAGGUUGCGCCUCCAGUGAUGCUUUCUCAAACAGGUUGCGCCUCCAGUGAUGCUUUCUCAAACAGGUUGCGCCUCCAGUGGUGCUUUCUCAAACAGGUUGUGCCUCCAGUGAUGCUUUCUCAAACAGGUUGUGCCUCCAGUGAUGCUUUCUCAAACAGGUUGCGCCUCCAGUGAUACUUGUCGUGUGGUUUGGUGAAAUGUUGUGACCAGAUUUCCUGGUCCCUUCCCCUUUUAUGCAAAUAAUUUCGUAUUUAUUGUCAAUGGUGCCACUUGUCAGUGAAUUUAGUGGGUGGAAUAAUUAUGAUUUUUUUUUUUUUAAUACUGAAUCAACAAUCUAUUAAACAUGUAAAGUGUUGGUUUCAUGAGCUAAAAUAGAAGCCAAGACUUUUUAUUUUUCCCCGGCUUCAUCAUCUGAGAGCCACCCGGACAGAUGAUGAAACUGAAGAGCAUUUCUGUCUGUUGUAAAGCCCUUUUGUGGGGGGAAAAAAACAUAUAUUCUAGUGGUUGGGCCUCUGACCUUCUAAGCCCACCCACGGCUGCGCCCCUGCCCAGUCAUGUGAAACCCAUAGAUUUAUUUUUAAUGAAUUUAUUUCAGUUGACUGAUUUUCCUUUUUUUAUAUGAACUGUAACUGAGUAAAAAUCGUUAAUUGUUUCAUGUUGCGUUUUAUAUAUUUUUUUUUUGUUCAGUAAAAAUGGUUUCUCUGUCCAGAUCACAAUGCGUGUGACUACCUCCAGAGGUGGUCGGGAAGAUCAGAUCACAUUCAGUGUCUUUAAUUGUUCAUACCGGUCAACAAACAACAAAUAUAUCAGGAGGAUCUGAUCACAAUCAGAAUGUGGACAAGAUCAGAACAAAGAACGCAAGUUAGAACCAGGAACAAAUACUUUAUGCACACAUGACUGUAAGUCGCUUUGGAUAAAAGCGUCUGCUAAAUGGCAUAUUAUUUUUUUUAUUAUUUAUUUACUUUGAAACCAGUUUAAAAAAAAAUAAAAUAAACAUAACUUUCAAUGAAUUUGGUAUUAAUACAGUCCUUUUAGAAGUCAAAGUUAACGUGAAUACUCAAGUGGUGCGACCACAUUCAUCUCAUUAUUGCUUUUGCUAAGUGCACAGAAAGAGUGAAAUCACAGCAGGAUGUGUACUUCCAUUCAGAAGUUAUUCACUAUCUCUUUUAGGGCUCGUUUUAAUUGAAUGUGGUUGUUUUUCGGGUGUACAGCAAAGUAGGAGUUCCUGAUGUUGUAUCGGCAUCAUAGAACAGGGUUCUGCAGUGUUCUGUCGUUUUCACUCCCUCUGUUCCUCCACCUCAUCUUUGGUAAGGUAUUCAAUGUGAGCCCAAACGCACCAUAUGUGGAGAGCCAGACAGUGAGACAGGAGGGGGAGGGGAUACAGAGUGUGUGUUUACAUCAGUGUAAUUCCAGCAGACAGUUGUGUCUUACUGAUACACCCAGGAGCCUCCCUGCUGCCAGGAUCAGAGCCCCCAGUGUUUGCAGCCAGAGGGGAUGGGAGGGGGGCACAGAGGGGAUGGGACAGGACCCAUACAGCCACAGGGGUAGACCGUGUAAACCACCUGAAAUUCUUGCAGCAUGAGAGCGAAUGUUCCCGAAUCUUUCCAUUUACUUCAGUCUGGAAACCAGGGCCUGUAUUCAAAAGUGUCUAGAAUCAGGUCCAUCUUAUUCCAUUUGUUUCUAAGUUAAAAUAUAUUGUUCAGUGAGACGAACCAAAAACAUGACUGUUAGCUUACAGCAGAGAUCCCUCUCUUAUCAGCAGACCACUUCUGUGAAAGAGACAGCACAGUGGAUUACACUUUUACCUUUUAGUUAUG